AGCGAACGCUGGCGGCAGGCUUAACACAUGCAAGUCGAGCGGACCUUUCGGGGUCAGCGGCGGACGGGUGAGUAACGCGUGGGAACGUGCCUUCUGGUUCGGAAUAACCCUGGGAAACUAGGGCUAAUACCGGAUACGCCCUUAUGGGGAAAGGUUUACUGCCGGAAGAUCGGCCCGCGUCUGAUUAGCUAGUUGGUGGGGUAACGGCCUACCAAGGCGACGAUCAGUAGCUGGUCUGAGAGGAUGAUCAGCCACACUGGGACUGAGACACUGCCCAGACUCCUACGGGAGGCAGCAGUGGGGAAUAUUGGACAAUGGGCGCAAGCCUGAUCCAGCCAUGCCGCGUGAGUGAUGAAGGCCCUAGGGUUGUAAAGCUCUUUUAUCCGGGACGAUAAUGACGGUACCGGAGGAAUAAGCCCCGGCUAACUUCGCGCCAGCCGCCGCCGUAA
This 449-nucleotide ribosomal RNA is filed under the name uncultured bacterium. RNAcentral describes it as "partial 16S ribosomal RNA". It matches the Rfam family "Bacterial small subunit ribosomal RNA", at positions 29 to 523 of the family's 1533-position model. The record is from RNAcentral.